GACCCCAGCUCACCAAAACAGAUUCUUUUCAAGAAGAUGUAGGGAAAUGCUAAUCGUCCCCACGACUGCCAUCAUUAAACAUUUGCUGUGUGCACGGCAUGCAUUUGGGACAAUCUUGGACACAUCUUGUAGAGUCUGCGUUGUAAUACUCCCCCAGGGUAGCUACCAGGAAUGGAUCAAUGAAUCCUAUCCUGGACCCAGGGGAGAUCCCUGUUGGAGCAGUCUCUGGCAGGGCCCAGCUCCUGGCAGGUCCGCAUAAGAGCAGCCAUGAGGUGGAUGGUUUCCCUUCUCUACAUUGUACCCACCAUGAUGUGCUGCCUUCCCAUAGGCCAAAAUGAUGAAGCCAACCAAUCAUAGCUUGGAAUCUCCAAAACUGAACCAAAAUAAAUCUCUACAAGUUUGUUAUCUCAGGUAUUUUGUUAUAGUGACAGAAAGCUGACUAAUGCAGUAACACAGGCACAUUUCA
Castor canadensis (American beaver) is the source of this 466-nucleotide long non-coding RNA. RefSeq lists it as uncharacterized. The record is from RefSeq and is a predicted model, not a curated record. Lineage: Eukaryota; Metazoa; Chordata; Mammalia; Rodentia; Castoridae.